Molecule: long non-coding RNA, 2163 nt
Filed under: Oreochromis niloticus (Nile tilapia)
Lineage: Eukaryota; Metazoa; Chordata; Actinopteri; Cichliformes; Cichlidae
Description: lncRNA (ENSONIG00000027030.2)
Source: RNAcentral
AUGAUAGCUUCCAAUUUGCUUUACAUUAAGCGGUGGACUCUGAUGCCAGGACGAAAAAAUAUUUUGGUUGCUGACAGAAAAAUGUCUUCAUUUCAGUUCAGUUUGAGACGGUUUAUCACUGAGAGACUAGCUGCUGUUGCUGAUGAAAUCUCCUCAGAAGUUGAAAAAAGGAUCCUCCAGUAUCAGAAGGAGAUCAGUAGUCACCAACUGCUGAAGGUUACCCGGAAACCAGAGAUAAGAGGACACAUAAUAGAUCUCACACAGCAUGACAGUAAGGAAGAGGAGGAUCUGGGUUUCCAGCAGCUUCGUGACCAGAAGGGAAACUCCAGUCGACACCAGGAGGACCCAGAGCCUCCACAGAUUAUACAGGAUAAGGAAGAACUCUGCACCAAUCAGGAGAGAGAGCAGCCUGUGCUGAAGCAGGACAAAGGCAUCGUCGUCUGGACUGAGGAAUGGCAGUUAAGAUUGCUGGAAAACAUCUGGAAACCUGAACUCAACUUACACAGAACAGACCCCCCACAAGAGCGUGUCUGUAAGGAAAAGAUGGGCCCACAUGUACAACAGCUCUGUAACCAUGAAUUGAGGUCCAGUCUGUACCAGGAGAAACCAAAACGGCCACAAAUGAAAAAGAAACAGAAAGAACUUCGCACCAGUCAGGAGGGAGAGCGCUUUGCAGUGAGGCAGCCAACUUCUACCUUUAUGGUGACUCCUACUUACAAAGAACGCGAUCGCAGAGAUGAAGAGCAAAACUGUAACCAGGCCCUGUCUGGAAAACCUCCCGAACCAGAGAGCCGAAAAAAGAAAAAAAGCAAGUCUGUGGGCUCGGCAUCAUCUCUAAAUGCAGAGCUGAAGAAAAGAAAACGUGACGGAAACAGAAGUCAGAGCAGCAGAGUGGAAAAUGCUCCUAUGUCAGAGAGUCAGAGUAAAGCUGAUGCGAGUGAAAAGUCUGCAAAAUGUGCUGUGAAAAAGCUUUUUGGUGUGAAGCUAAACUGAUAAUACAUCAGUGAGUCUACUCUGGUGAGAAGCAUUGUUGAUGCAGCACCUGUGGAAGAGAAUUCAGUAAAGAGUUCAAACUUGAACUUGAAAAGACACACGAGAGCUCACAAAGAGGAGCAGUGAUAUGUUUGUAGCACCUGCGGGGAAGAGGUGAGAGGGCGGGUCAGAUGUGAAACACCCAAUGGAAAACAUGACCCCAUUUUCAGGUCAUUAUGAUAUCUUGUCCAUCCAGAUCAUUUGUUUUUUAUUCCAUUUAUUUCAUUCCACAAUUUCGUUCUGCUGCCUAUUAGUCUUAUUUGUUCUUAAAAGUUGUUCCAGUCUGUAUCAUAGUUCCUGUUUACCUGUCCCAGCUGCAGCGCUUUAAUUAAUGAGUGCAGCUCCAGCUUCAAAAUACAUGAAAAAUAUAGCAAUAUUGAACUUUUAAUGUGUUUCUAAGCCUUUUGCUAAUCAAAUCAGUUAUUAAUAUUUAAUUUAAUGCCAUUAGCAUACUUGUUUGGCCUCCUGUCUGAAUAUCUGUAAUCUGCAUUAGUUUAAUGUUUGCACCUUCAGGCAUGCAUUCAAGUAGUGUAUGUCAACAUGGACUUUCACAGAGAGACAGACAGUAUGUAAAGGAUGUUUCUUUGAAUUUCAAAUAAAUGUGAUUUCAUUUAUGAUACUUUUAAUAAAGGAAACCUGUUUGACUCCUUUGUAAUCUUGUAGAGUAGCUUUGCGAGAUAUCAAAGUGAUUUUCAAGUUUUCUAGUACUGGGUCAUUGAAUCAAAUCUUGGGGUACAGCAACAGAGAGGCACGAGCCUUUGGAGAAACUGCUUUGUAUUUUCUUAUGAUAAGCUGACCACAGACUCUGAUUGUUGCAGUGACCGUUGUUCUUGAGCCUGUGAACAACCAUCCUGUAAAAUGACUCUUCUAAACAUAUUCUUUGCUGUCUGUGAUAAUAUACAAAACCAAUCACAACGAGGCAAUUAACAAAUAAAGACCUGGAAGUGGAGAAAGAGACCCGGAGGCCAUCACACACACACGUGAUGUAAACAUAUGUACGACUAAACAGUAAAAGUCAGCGCAGACAGCUGUUCAUCACAUUACUUUUUUAAGUCCACUUGUACAUAUUAUGUUUAGAAUGAGGUGGGAAUAAAACCUUUAAAGACUUUAAUCAGCCCACUCCUGCACCCU